UGCUAAUCUGCGAUAAGCGUCGGUAAGGUGAUAUGAACCGUUAUAACCGGCGAUUUCCGAAUGGGGAAACCCAGUGUGUUUCGACACACUAUCAUUAACUGAAUCCAUAGGUUAAUGAGGCGAACCGGGGGAACUGAAACAUCUAAGUACCCCGAGGAAAAGAAAUCAACCGAGAUUCCCCCAGUAGCGGCGAGCGAACGGGGAGCAGCCCAGAGCCUGAAUCAGUGUGUGUGUUAGUGGAAGCGUCUGGAAAGGCGCGCGAUACAGGGUGACAGCCCCGUACACAAAAAUGCACAUGCUGUGAGCUCGAUGAGUAGGGCGGGACACGUGGUAUCCUGUCUGAAUAUGGGGGGACCAUCCUCCAAGGCUAAAUACUCCUGACUGACCGAUAGUGAACCAGUACCGUGAGGGAAAGGCGAAAAGAACCCCGGCGAGGGGAGUGAAAAAGAACCUGAAACCGUG
Molecule: ribosomal RNA, 462 nt
Filed under: Escherichia coli
Lineage: Bacteria; Pseudomonadati; Pseudomonadota; Gammaproteobacteria; Enterobacterales; Enterobacteriaceae
Description: partial 23S ribosomal RNA
Rfam family: Bacterial large subunit ribosomal RNA
Source: RNAcentral